UAUCCAGCUCAUGAGAGACGAGAAGAACUGAGAGGGCUGCUCCACACGAGUCAGCAUGUGAAGCUUUGCUCUGACUACGAAGAGAGCGACAAGGAUCCUGAGGCAGUGAAUGAACACACUUCCUACAUAGACUUAGAUCUAAGCCAUAGCUCCCUGUUCCUCCCCCAGACCUGGGGGAGGAGCCUCCUACUGAGUUCAAGCCUCUUCCACUCCACCUCCUGGUGUACAAGUGUCAGAGAUCCCCAUGAGGCCCGACCCAAUACCAAGCCAAGGAAUCCCUGAACCAGCUCUGGCUUCACCUCUCAUCCCAGACUGCUUUUCCCAUCCCAGAGCUCUGUCUUGGCAGUCCCCUGAAGCCCAGUACCAGCCAGGCGAAGCAUUGCUAAAACACAGAGAAAUUCCCGGUUUCACUGUCCCAAGAAGCUGUGCCCAGGGGAAGGGCAGACACAAACUGACAGAUUCACUGGCCAAUCAGGACCUCCAAGAAGCCCUUCAGUCAGAAGAGGAGGAGGGUGCUUCCGGGAAUCCCCUUGCAGUGUCUGCGCACUCGCGGCUUUUUAAGUGAUCUGCUGUGUUGCGCUUUAACCUCACUGCUGUUUACUGAGAGAACUUGAGCAAACUCUGAAGUUGCAACAUGGCCAGAAUAUUCUCCCUGCAGCCUAUGUGAGUGUUAAGAAAAAAAUUUAUGGACGUGACAUCAGGUUUCUGCUGUGCCCACAGAUGAACCUUUUCCAUAGCUCUCCCUACCCAGAUCUGGCUGAAAGACAACAACAGGUUUACAGAAGUGCUGACACACAGGCUUAUAGGAGGUUAAGCCACUGUCAGAGACAGCAAGACCAACUAACACCAGAGGUAACCAGAUGGGCAGGGGCAAGCAUAAGAACCCAAGCAAGAAAAAUCAAGACUACUUGGCAUCAUCAGAGCCCAGUUCUCUCACCAAAGCAAAUACUGGCUAUUCAAACACACCGGAGAAGCAAGAUUUGGAUUUCAAAUCACAUCUCAUGAUGAUGGUGGAGAACUUUAAGAAGGACAUAAAUAACUCCCUUAAAGAAGCACAAGACAUGGGGGCUGGAGAGGGCUCAGCGGUUAAGAGCACUGACUGCUCUUCCAGAGGUCAUGAGUUCAAUUCCCAGCAACCACAUAGUGGCUCACAGUCAUCCGUAAUGAGAUAUGGUGCCCUCUUCUGGCCUGCAGUCACAUGUGAGGCAGAAUGCUGUACAUAAAAUAAAUAAAUAAAUCUUUAAAAAAAAAAAAGAAGAAGAAGAAGCACAAGACAACAUGGAUAAACAAGUGAAAGCCCUUAAAGAAUUUCAAGAAAACAAAAUCAAAUAGGUGAAGAAAUUGAACAAAACCAUCCAGGAUUUAAAAAUGGAAAUAGAAGCAAUAAAGAAAACACAAAGGGAGAUAGAAACCCUGGAGAUAGAAAAUGUAGGAAAGAGAUCAGGAAUCGUAGAAUCAAGCAACACCAACAGAAUACAAGAGAUAGAAGAAAGAAUCUCAAGGGCAGAAGAAACCAUAGAAAACAUCAACACAACCAUCAAAGAAAAAUGUAAUAUGCAAAAAGCUCCUAACCCAAAACAUCAAGGAAAUCCAGGACACAAUGAAAAGAUCAUACCCAAGGAAAAAGAACUUUCUGUCCAUGAGGCACAGUGCAUGAAAAAUUAAAAAUGAAGAUAAGGAACAGAGUGAAUUUUUUUCUUUGAAUUUAAAUGACAAUAAAUGAUCGUUGAGCAGAAUUGUAAUAGCUUUACACAGUGACUCAUCUCUUUUCUUUUUAACAAAUAACCAGAGGUAGACGGUAACACUUUCCUUUCCUUUGCAGAGAAUGUGUAUAAUCAUUUAAGAUUUUUACACAGCAGUCUCUUUUUUUUUCCAUCUUUAUUAACUUGGGUAUUUCUUAUUUACAUUUCAAAUGUUAUUCCCUUUCCUGAUUUCCAGGCCAACAUCCCCUUAACCCUCCCCCUCCCCUUCUAUAUGUUUGUUCCCAUCCCCCAUUACCACCCUCCCCACCACAAUCCCGUUCACUGGGGGUCCAGCCUUGGCAGGGCCAAGGGCUUCCCCUUCCACUGGUGCUCUUACUAGGAUAUUCAUUGCUACCUAUGAGGUCAGAGUCCAGGGUUAGUCCAUGUAUAGUCUUUGGGUAGUGGCUUAGUCCCUGGAAGCUCUGGUUGGUUGGCUUGUUGUUCAUAUGGGGUCUCAAGCCCCUUCAGCUCUUUCUGUCCUUUCUCUGAUUGCUUCAACAGGGGUCCUGUUCUCAGUUCAGUGGUUUGCUGCUGGCAUUCGCCUCUGUAUUUGCUGUAUUCUGGCUGUGUCUCUCAGGAGAGAUCUACAUUCGGUUCCUGUCAGUCUGCACUUCUUUGCUUCAUCUUAUCUCGUUUGGUGGCUGUAUAUGUAUGGGCCACAUGUGGGCCAGACCCUGAAUAGCUGUUCCUUCAGUCUCUGUUCUUAACUUUGCCUCCCUAUCUCCUCCUAAGGGUAUUCUUGUUCCCCUUUUAAAGAAGGAGUGAAGCAUUCGCAUUUUGAUCAUCCUUCUUGAGUUUCAUGUGUUCUGUGCAUCUUGGUUAAUUUCACCAUUUGGGCUAAUACCCACUUAUCAAUGAGUGCAUACCAUGUGUGUUUAUCUGUGAUUGGGUUACCUCACUCAGGACGAUAUUUUCCAGUUCCAUCCAUUUGCCUGUGAAUUUUAUGAAGUCAUUGUUUAUGAUAGUGGAGUAAUAUUCCAUUGUGUAGAUGUACCACAUUUUCUGUAUCCAUUCCUCUGUUGAAGGAUAUUUGAGUUCUUUCCAGCUUCUGGCUAUUAUAAAUAAGGCUGCUAUGAACAUAGUGGAGCAUGUGUUUUGUUAUAUGUUGGGGCAUCUUGUGGGUAUAUGCCCAACAGAGGUAUAGCUGGGUCCUCAGGUAGUGCAAUGUCCAAUUUUCUGAGGAACCUCCAGACUGAUUUCCAGAAUGGCUGUACCAGUCUGCAAUCCCACCAGCAAUGGAGGAAUGUUCCUCUUUCUCCACAUCCCCACCAGCAUAUGCUGUCGCCAGAGUUUUUGAUCUUAGCCAUUCUCACUGGUGUGAGGUGAAAUCUCAAGGUUGUUUUGAUUUGCAUUUCCCUUAUGACUAAAGAUGUUGAACAUUUCUUUAGCUGCUUCUCAGCCAUUCUGCAUUGCUCAGCUGUGAAUUCUUUGUUUAGCUCUGAACCCCAUUUUUAAUAGGGUUAUUUGUCUCCCUGCAGUCUAACUUCAUGAGUUCUUUGUAUAUUUUGGAUAUAAGCCCUCUAUCAGUUGUGGGAUUGGUAAAGAUCUUUUCCCAAUAUGUUGGUUGCCGUUUUGUCCUAACAACAGUGUCCUUUGCCUUAGAGAAGCUUUGCAGUUUUAUGAGGUCCCAUUUGUCGAUUCUUGACCUUAGAACAUAAGCCAUUGGUGUUUUGUUCAGGAAGUUUUCCCCAGUGCCCAUGUGUUUGAGACUCUUCCUUAAUUUUUCUUCUAUUAGUUUGAGUGUAUCUGGUUUUAUGUAGUGUCGGGGACCAGACUGCCAGACUAGGCAAAGCUAGAGCCCUGCUCAGAGCAGAUUCCUGAGAAGGGCUUGACCUUUUCAAGGAAAGAACACUUGCCUCUUUGUCUAAGAAGAAUAUCUUGCGGUUUAGUGAUUCACCUUAUGUCCUUGGGCACUUCCCAGUACUCCAUCCCCCCCCCAACCCCCACCCCGCCCUAAGCUUCAGUUCCUGCUUCAAUUCCUGCUUCAGAGCUUUAAAUGCUGUACACUCCUCUCAAUAAACAGACCUUGACUAGAACACUGCUUGGUCUCGCUCCUCUUUCUUGCCCGUUCUCCUGCAGGUAUGGGUCCCCCUCGACCCCCACGAAUAACUGGGUACCUGCUGGCAGGGGCAAUGUAGAGGUCCUCCAUCCACUUGGACUUAAGCUUUGUACAGGGUGAUAAGCAUGGAUCGAUCUGCAUUCUUCUACAUGCUGACCUCCAGUUGAACCAGCACCGUUUGCUGAAAAUGCUAUCUUUUUUCCAGUGGAUGGUUUUGGCUCCUUUGUCAAAAAUCAAGUGCCCACAGGUGUGUGGGUUCAUUUCUGGGUCUUCAAUUCUAUUCCACUGGUCUAUCUGUCUGUCUCUGUACCAAUACCAUGCAGUUUUUAUGACUAUUGCUCUGUAAUACUGCUUGAGUUCAGGGAUAGUGAUUCCCCCAGAAGUCCUUUUAUUGUUGAGGAUAGUUUUAGCUAUCCUGGGUUUUUUGUUAUUCCAGAUGAAUUUGCAAAUUGUUCUGUCUAAGUCUCUGAAGAAUUGGAUUGGAAUUUUGAUGUGGAUUGCAUUGAAUCUGUAGAUCACUUUUGGUAAAAUGGCCAUUUUUACUAUAUUAAUCCUGCCAAUCCAUGAGCAUGGGAGAUCUUCAAUUUCUUUCUUCAGAGACUUGAAGUUCUUAUCAUACAGAUCUUUCACUUGUUUAAAGUCACACCGAGGUAUUUUAUAUUAUUUGGGACUAUUAUGAAGGGUGUCAUUCGGGGCUGGAGAGAUGGCUCAGUGGUUAAGAGCACUGACUGUUCUUCCACAGGUCCUGAGUUCAAAUCCAAGCAACCACAUGGUGGCUCACAAUCACCUGUAAUAAGAUCUGAUGCCCUCUUCUGGUGUGUCUGAAGUCAGCUACAGUGUACUUAUAUAUAAUAAAUAAAAAUCUUUUAAAAAUG
Long non-coding RNA from Rattus norvegicus (Norway rat), 4676 nucleotides. RefSeq lists it as uncharacterized. The record is from RefSeq and is a predicted model, not a curated record. Lineage: Eukaryota; Metazoa; Chordata; Mammalia; Rodentia; Muridae.